RNAcentral lists this ribosomal RNA (254 nucleotides) under uncultured bacterium. RNAcentral describes it as "partial 16S ribosomal RNA". It matches the Rfam family "Bacterial small subunit ribosomal RNA", at positions 524 to 776 of the family's 1533-position model. The record is from RNAcentral.
UACGGGGGGAGCAAGCGUUGUUCGGAUUUACUGGGCGUAAAGGGCGCGUAGGCGGUCAGCACAAGUCAGUUGUGAAAUCUCCGGGCUUAACUCGGAAAGGUCAACUGAUACUGUGCGACUAGAGUGCAGAAGGGGCAACUGGAAUUCUCGGUGUAGCGGUGAAAUGCGUAGAUAUCGGGAGGAACACCGGUGGCGAAGGCGGCUCUCUGGACCACUACUGACGCUGAGGCGCGAAAGCUAGGGGAGCAAACAGG